AAGGAAUUAAGUUAAAAAAGAAGCUGCUAACUCUCUUUUGAAGCGGUUAAAUUCCGUUUUUUCCUUG
RNAcentral lists this transfer RNA (67 nucleotides) under Diceroprocta semicincta. Its description in RNAcentral is "tRNA-Ser". Lineage: Eukaryota; Metazoa; Arthropoda; Insecta; Hemiptera; Cicadidae. The record is from RNAcentral.